GGGCAGGGGGGUGAGGAUGCGGCUGCUGCCGGCGGCGCUGGCCAUGGCCCUGCUCAUGGGCAACUUGGUGCCGGGUGGUGGUCUGUCGCUGGAGAGCCUGCUGACCAACAUGAGGUGCAAGUGUAUCAAAUGGACUGCCCAGGUCAUCAACCUGGGGCUGAUCCUCGCCAUCGAUGUCACCCCACCGGGUAUUCACUGCAGGAGGAAGGAGAUCAUUCUUACCCUGAAGAAAAACAAGAAGGUUUGCGUGGCCCCCGAGGCGCCCUGGAUCCAGCUGCUCAUCUUCAAGCUGACACAGAGGAACGUCACCAAGAAAGCAGGAGCGGUGCGGCCGCGGCGGGAAGCGGAGCGGUGGUGCAGAGUCCCUGCCCCAUCCCUCCCUGUGUCUGAAUACAGUGACCAGUAACCAGCUGGGGUUCGUGGCACAACUCCAGCACUUCUGCUCCUGGGGUUUUGGUGGGGGGCAGGAGCCUUCCCCUGCUCCCUCCUCCAGAAGAAAGGCUUUCCACUUGGGUGCCCACUGUCACCCUCCAUUUCGGGUGCUUGCGCUUUUCCUGUGCACGAUGGCAUGCCAUCAAUAAAUGGAUGAACG
Molecule: long non-coding RNA, 592 nt
Filed under: Strigops habroptila (Kakapo)
Lineage: Eukaryota; Metazoa; Chordata; Aves; Psittaciformes; Psittacidae
Description: lncRNA (ENSSHBG00005019193.1)
Source: RNAcentral